RNAcentral lists this unclassified non-coding RNA (440 nucleotides) under soil metagenome. RNAcentral's name for it is "partial contains 5.8S ribosomal RNA, internal transcribed spacer 2, and large subunit ribosomal RNA". The stretch from base 1 to 120 matches the Rfam family "5.8S ribosomal RNA", at positions 35 to 154 of the family's 154-position model. The record is from RNAcentral.
GAUGAAGAACGUAGCGAAAUGCGAUACGUAAUGUGAAUUGCAGAAUUCAGUGAAUCAUCGAAUCUUUGAACGCAUAUUGCGCCUUCUGGUAUUCCGGAAGGCAUGCUUGUUUGAGUAUCAGUAACAACCUCAGCUCCCUAGUUCUUUCUGGGAAGUUGGAUUUGAGCAUUUUCCUACUCUUCACAGAGGCGGAUUGCUUGAAAUUAGGUUCGGCCAGACGGUUAAUUCCCUGGGCUACAAGCAUUUCAUACUUAAUCCCGUUAAACGGAUUAUUUCCUUUGCUGCAGCCAACUUAAACAGGUAAUCGUCAGUGUCUGACUGAUGCAGGAAAAGUGGAGAGGGAAAAGGGGCUUCGGUCCCCAGCACCUCUCUCUCUUUUAAACUCGAUCUCAAAUCAAGUAGACUACCCGCUGAACUUAAGCAUAUCAAUAAGCGGAGGA